UUCAAGAUUUCCUCGAGCUGUACAAAGCGGAUGUGCCUUUCUAAGAAACAUAGUGACUCUCACUCUUCGAGCACUGCUAAUUUCCCUUUUUCCAAUUCACGUUAUUCUAAGCAUUGUUCAAUAUCAAAUCAUGCUACUUCUUUUGUGAGUGCGAUGUUAUUUUAGGUACUUGGAAGUGGGAUCACCAAGCGGACAUGGGAGUCAAUCGUCAGACAUGCCAGCCCCUGUGUGAUCAACGAUGACGAUGUAUUUCUACCAAGCUUUGAACAAGGCCAGUAUAGUGUUCAAUUCGGUCAUGAAAGUUGCUCAAGUAGCACUCG
Molecule: long non-coding RNA, 320 nt
Filed under: Eucalyptus grandis
Lineage: Eukaryota; Viridiplantae; Streptophyta; Magnoliopsida; Myrtales; Myrtaceae
Description: long non-coding RNA (EGRA_LNC000748)
Source: RNAcentral